RNAcentral lists this ribosomal RNA (402 nucleotides) under uncultured bacterium. RNAcentral's name for it is "bacterial SSU rRNA". It matches the Rfam family "Bacterial small subunit ribosomal RNA", at positions 355 to 749 of the family's 1533-position model. The record is from RNAcentral.
UAGGGAAUCUUCCACAAUGGACGAAAGUCUGAUGGAGCAACGCCGCGUGAACGAUGAAGGCCUUCGGGUCGUAAAGUUCUGUUGUAAGGGAAGAACAAGUGCCGCAGGCAAUGGCGGCACCUUGACGGUACCUUGCGAGAAAGCCACGGCUAACUACGUGCCAGCAGCCGCGGUAAUACGUAGGUGGCAAGCGUUGUCCGGAAUUAUUGGGCGUAAAGCGCGCGCAGGCGGCCUCUUAAGUCUGAUGUGAAAGCCCCCGGCUCAACCGGGGAGGGCCAUUGGAAACUGGGAGGCUUGAGUAUAGGAGAGAAGAGUGGAAUUCCACGUGUAGCGGUGAAAUGCGUAGAGAUGUGGAGGAACACCAGUGGCGAAGGCGACUCUUUGGCCUAUAACUGACGCUGA